This 76-nucleotide transfer RNA is filed under the name Acidobacteriota bacterium. RNAcentral's name for it is "tRNA-Phe". It matches the Rfam family "tRNA". Rfam says of the family: Transfer RNA (tRNA) molecules are approximately 80 nucleotides in length. The record is from RNAcentral. RNAcentral also lists the same sequence under 1 other name. Lineage: Bacteria; Pseudomonadati; Acidobacteriota.
GCCGGGGUAGCUCAGUCGGUAGAGCAGCGGACUGAAAAUCCGCGUGUCGGCGGUUCAAUUCCGUCCCCCGGCACCA